GAAUCUUCAGCUGUUCACCUUGAGUAAUACCAUGGGGCCAGAAUUUGUCUCUGCAACUUGGUUCAAUAUUGAAAUGGAAGGAGACAAAAUGAGCAGGUGCAUCGUGUAGGGAUGACUCCCAGUUAAAGUGCCUAUAGUUUCUUUGUUACAAGGACAGAUAUUGGCCCAUGAUAUCGUGAAGGAGAAAAGCAGAGUCAUGAUCCUGCCUCAUUUUUUGUACAAGGCAACUCUGUUUUCCUGCUCCAGUGGGGAGACCGUAUCUUGAGACAAGACCGACCUCUGAAAGUUCAGCUAUGGCACUUAUUUUACCUUUUCCAGUUUGAACUCAUUUGUCAUUAGGCAACAAAAUUUUUGUAGCAAAAAUUUCCAAGCAGUUCUCUCCCUGCCUCUGAAGUCUGGGAAGCUCUGGAGCUGCUGCAAUGUGUGGCAGCACAAUGUGGUCACCCUGGAUGCUGUGUACUUGACACCAGGUCUGGCACAAUGACUCUGGUCUGACAGCUGGUGGCAGGUCCUUUGUGAAGUCCUGCACCAUUUCCACUCAACUCCAUUGCCCAACAUUGGACAUGCUUUAAGACCCUUUCUAGCACAGUCUGAUCAUCGUUUAGGUUUUCAUGUUCUUUGCCAAAUGAUGCAAAUACUCUGCAUAUGGAGAAAUGCACUGGAAUGUGUAAUACAAGAA
This is a non-coding RNA of Zonotrichia albicollis (white-throated sparrow), 679 nucleotides long. Lineage: Eukaryota; Metazoa; Chordata; Aves; Passeriformes; Passerellidae. The record is from RefSeq and is a predicted model, not a curated record.